This is a long non-coding RNA of Saccostrea cuccullata (small rock oyster), 493 nucleotides long. RefSeq lists it as uncharacterized. NCBI's taxonomy places the organism in Eukaryota, Metazoa, Mollusca, Bivalvia, Ostreida, Ostreidae. The record is from RefSeq and is a predicted model, not a curated record. The transcript has 5 exons.
AUACAUUGGCCAAUGAUACUUCUUCUAAAGAUGUUUUUCUUCAGAAACUUAGGUCAGGGGAGCAUCUAACACUACCAUAUUUUACUGAAGGAAACAUACGCUUUCAUUUCAUCAGGCGGGACAAAUUGUUUUUCGUUGCCACAACAAGCAAGGAAACGUCACCAAUUCUUAUCGUAGAGGUUCUAACUAGAUUGUAUCAUGUCUUCAAAGAUUUUUGUGGCGUGGUUUCGGAGGAAUCGUUACAAGAAAAUCUGCUCCUGAUUCUAGAGGUUCUCAAUGAAUUUCUGGACUUUGGUUAUGUCCAGCUGUCCACUACAGAUAAAUUACAGCCUCAUAUCCAAUCCACACCGGUACUGACCAGAAUAAACAGACAGCCAACACAGGAUUAAACAUCACGGGUGUUUGGUAUAGAAACAAAGACCACCCCUAUCCCAGCAACCGACAGACCUGUCAUAGGUUCCUCUGUCCAGAAGGUAUGCAUUAUUUAAUCCAA